RNAcentral lists this long non-coding RNA (12860 nucleotides) under Gossypium barbadense (sea-island cotton). RNAcentral's name for it is "long non-coding RNA (GBAR_LNC018881)". Lineage: Eukaryota; Viridiplantae; Streptophyta; Magnoliopsida; Malvales; Malvaceae. The record is from RNAcentral.
UAACAUGUAUACACACACAUAAACAUUGGGUGUUUCUGAUUGAGCACUGCAGGAAUAUAUGUGGGGGACGACAUGGUGAUUCAUCUCCGGGGAGCAGCCAAGAAACUUGGGGAGCUACCUGCAUGCCAUAAAUGUGGAGACAAGCGAGUCGAAAAUGGUGAAAUAGCAAAAGUAUGCAUAGAUUGUUUCAUUGAUGGUGACACGCUCCAGAUCUAUGACUAUGGAGUUACCUAUCCAGAAUUCUCUAAAAGAAAACGUGGUACUUGCUGCCCACGCUAUUCCAGGCCUCCCGAUUUAGUUAUUAGCGCCGCAACUGAUUUCCUUGAACGGAAUGGUUUUGGCCCCUACGACAUGUUUACUAACAACUGUGAGCACUUCGCUGUGUGUUGCAAAACAGGCUCUGCCGACAGUUACCAGAUUGAAGGCCAUAUUGAAGGAGUUAUUCAUACUGGUCCCUUUGCUAUGGUUGGUGCCUCUGUUUUUGUGGCAGCUUAUAGUAUUUCGAAAGGCAUUAGCCAAAAAUCAAGCUCCUGGUAACUUCUGCCUGCAACUCAUUCACGGGACUUCAAUUACAUCUUACUUAUAAGUAUGAACCAUGUUAAGAAGAUCUCAUAUCCCAAUAAACUUAGAAGUCAAAGCCAACUAGUGCUGAUAUUCACCUAUAUGCAAAUAUGAAUUAUUUAUCAUCUUUUUUUUUUUAUAAAUACUAAAAAUUUUAUGAGGGUAGAAAUUGCAUAUUUGAUAUAUAAGUGUGUGUUUGAAAACAAUAUAAAAUAAAUAAUAAAAUAUAUGAUUUGAAAUUAAUAAUAACAAUACAUAAGCAAAAUGCACAAAAUUAAAAUGAAAAAUUAAUUUAAAUUGUGAGUAAAAAAAUUUAAAUAGAUAAAUACAUCAUAUUAAGAAUAUUGGUAUUGUUAUUUUUCUAUGGCACUUAAAAUGUUAUCGUGUUAAUAUGUUAUCAAAAUGUUAUCAUAUUGGUGAAAGGAAAAUUCAAUAUUAAAUUUUUGUUUUUGAAAAGAUACAAUAUUGAGUUGAUCCGUGACAUUAACUCAAUCAACCAUAUUAUCUAUACUAGAAAUCUUAUUAUAUGUGUAUACGUGCGUGAAAAUCACGUAUUUAGAAUACAAAUUUGUGUUUAAAAAUAACACACAAUAUAGUUAAUGAAAAAUAUGAUUUGGAAUUAAUUAAUAAUAACGCAUGCCUUAUGUACAAUACUAAAAUAAAAAAAUAGAUUAAAUUAUGAGUAAAACGAAAUUUAAAUCACAUCAUAUUAAGAAUACUAAAUGAAUACAAUUGUUUAUCAUUGUUUUGUCAUCAAUCCUGAAUUGAUUUUGUGUUUGUUAACUCGAUUGAUCAACUCAAAAUCUCCAAGACGGAAGGAGAAUUGACCUUUAAGAAAAAUGAUGGAAGCAAUAAAAGAAAAUGAAACAAUGAACAUAAGAAUUUAUAGUGAUUCGGCCCCAAUUGACUACUUCAUUACCUUAGCUUUCUACAACUAAGGAUUUUCCUAAAUUUACUAAUUUGAUAACCUUUGAGGACAAUAUUUAACCUUACAAUAGUCCUUAAGUUUUCUACCAAAAAUCUUAAUAUUGCAACUCUCUUAAGGUUUCUAUCCAAACCUUAAGAUUCAACCAUCUCAAAAAGAUACAACUAAGCAAACAAAGAAAUAAUCUUUACAAUAUCAGAAUGUUUGCCAAUUAAGCUCAAAUAAACAAGAAUACACUUGAGCUAAAGAAUAACAAUGAAAGCUCAAAAGUGUGCAUAAGAAAAAUAUGAAAAAAUUAAACACUAAGGUUAUUUUGAUUGAUAUUUAAGCUUGAAGAUCUCUCUCUUUAUUGUAGGACAUUUGAAAGAUGGUAUUUAUGCCCUCUAAUUCAUUUUCAACCAUUGUGGUUGUUGUGAAAGUUAAUAGAGCCAUUGGAAUGAAAAUACUAGAUCAUUAAAUUCACCUACAACAAAAGGUAUUGAUACUUUUUCUAUGAGUAUUGAUACUAUUAGCAUUUAAUGCCCGAUUCAGUGACCGUUAAAGUUAGUUAAUUUACAUCGAUACCAAAAAUAAUUUAUCGAUACUUGGUAAAAGGUAUUUAUAUUUUUUGUAAUUGAUUGAAAAUAAAAUGUCAAAUUGGUAUCGAUUUUAUUAAGGGUAUCGCGAUAUUUUGAUGCUGACUUGUUUUGAAACAGUUUUAACUUGAUUGAAAAUGUUUAACUCAAUUGAAACCAUUUUAACUUGAUUUUAUCAUUUUGCUAAUUUUGUUCAACUUUAACUUUUAUUCAAAAAUAUUUUAACUUGUUAUAUCGAAACAUAUUAUCAAAUAAAGUUAGGUGUAACCAUGUUCAUUUGUGAUACUAACUCAAUCGACAAAAUUAUUCAUAUACACAAAUAUAUAAAAAUUCAAAACACAAAUAGACUUAUUAAAGUUUCAAAAUAAAAACUAAUAAUUACUUUAAUUCAAAUGGUAAAUGAAAAAGUUUUAUAUGCAUGGUGCCAUUGGUUAAAAGCUCAUCAUGGAUAAAUUUUUAUUGAUCUAUAAAAAUAUGAAAAGACAAAAGCAUCCAUAUAAUUUUACAAAUAAAAUGAAUUUUUUGGGAAUUCCUUAACUGAGUUGAGACUUGGGUGACGCUAACUCAAUAAAAUGCUUAAUAAAUAGUAUAGAUACAUAAAACACGAAGUGGGUGGAAAAAAAUUAUGUAAAAGAAUUAUUUAAGACCAUAAUGAAGCUCUGUUUCGCUAGUUGUAACUCUACGUUUUGUUUCCGACAAUCUUAAAAUUCGAACUUUAAGUUCUCAUAAACUUAAUCCAUAUCCUACAACACUUAAUUAUUUAUCAAAUAUUAAAAUCAUAUAAAAAUCGAGCAUAAUUAAAAAAAAAACGCAAAUGAGAAAACUAAGAUGCAACAUUUCACUAAAGAACCAAACGAAAUAUUAAAUAUAAAGGCCGAAAUAUGAGCACUUAUUACAUAUGAAGAUGUUUCUCCAUUUGUUACUACCGAGAGUUACUUUGAAUUUUUUGUUAGGAGAGAGUGAGUAGAGCUUAAGGGGAGCUGGAACUUAAUGUCAAUGAUGCAAGUACUACCUUCAUUACUUGAGAAAACUGACUUCAUGUUUUUGGUCAAAAAUGCUGAAGAAGAGAAUUGUCAAUGACUCGGAAGUUGCAUGCAAAUUCCAUUACUACAAAAUUUUCCUACUAAAAUUUUUUUUGAAAGGAAAUUUACAAUUUUUAGACGACUUUUUAGGUCAUUGAUUAGGCUAAUAAGAAAAUAUUCAUGACAGUCGGUGGCGUGCGUUUGGAAACUUUGUCUAAGGACUGCUUUGACUCUCCAUAUAAUUAUUUCUAGAUAUGUGUACUUGUAACGACUUGCAAUAGUAAUAUUAAUAAGUGAUGAAUCUCAAAAUUAUAUAUAAAUUUUAAUUUAAUCUAUAAUUAUAUACAUGAACUUUAAUUUAGUGUAAUUAUACACGUGAAAUUCUUUUUUUUAAAGGUAAAUUCAUUAAUUCAUUAAAUGAAUGAAACUAUACAAUUUAGGGGAAAAAAAUAACAAACACUCAUCGUAGAUAGUGAAAGACAAGCUCCAUCAACACAACAAAAUAUUUAGCCUCAAUACCAAUAGAACAUCAUCAUGACACGUUGACAAUUAGCUUUGUCAUAACUCAAGUACGACAUAUUUGGAGUGCUUGCAAACACUUAAUACAAUAAGGAAAUCAACCCUGAAUGAUCCAAAGCGGCGAGCAAAAAUCGACAAAAGAAUCGAGCAUUCACCAAACUAGAGAGGAUGACAACAGAACCAUCCCUAAAAUCACUUGUAAAACUAAUGUUACAUGCAUAAGACUAAAAAAUGUUCUAUAAGAGCAGAUAAAAACUUCUAAAACUGAAAAUUUAUUAAACAAUGAAAAACAAACAAACAAAAACAUAUAAAAUUUAAGAUAACACAAGUCCAAAUCAACUCAUGAAAUAAUUUAUUAUUAUGAAAAACUAUUGAUGGCCAGUGGAGUUUUAGUGAACGACAGAUGUCGUCAUCUGUCCGCCACAACUUGUAAAAACAACAAAAAUACCCACAAAAUAAAUCUGCAAACUGAAAAGAGAGAAUACAUGUAGAGUGAAUGAGAAAAAGAAAGAAAGAAAGAACUGGUGGGAGAGAGAAAAAGGCAGGGGAUAGCCAAUCUCACUGGGCAAAACAAAAUAUAAGAAGCAAACGGCUUGAAAAAAAAACUAUACACGCGAAACUCUAAUUAUUGUUCAAAUAUAUACUUAAAACUUUAAUUUUGUUUUAAUCCUGCACAUUUAAAGAAAUAAAUACAUCAAUUUAUUUUUAUAUUGGACAACUAUAAUUAUUUAUAUACGUAUUAUAUAAACAUAAAAUAAUAUUAUAUCAAUAAUUAUGUUAAUAAUUUAUAAGAAUUAAAUUAAAUAAAAAAUUACACAAAAUCAAAAUUCAUAUACAUAAUUGCACAUUAAAUCAUAUUUAAUGUAACUUUAAAAAAAAAAAUUCACAUUGAAUCGGAAUAAUAAUAGUCAUACAAUGUGUGGUUGAAAAUCCAGUUUGAUUUUGUUGAAACUAUAAACUCGUUAUCCCAUCAUCAAGUAAUUUAAAAGAAAAAAAAAUUCAAAAAAAGAAAUUAUAAUCCAGUUUAAUUGUUAUUGACGUUGUAAAGAAAGCGAGGAAAAAGAAAAAGAAAAAAGAAAGCUGGAAAUUGUAAAGAAACACGAAGCCAAGCAAUGGAACUGGGUAACCAAAAAUAACAUUAAAAAAGAUGAAAAAGAACGGAAGGUUGGAAACGCAAAAAGUCAGAAAAAAAAAAUAAAAACCAAAAACUUUUAUCCUUCCAAAAUAUUAUUUUUACAUAUGAUUUGCUAAUGAAUUAAUUUAAUUAAUAGUAUUUAAUUACUUUUAUGACAUAUUUAGAAAAUAAUAUUUCUUUUUGCUUACUUUGAAAAAAAUAUAUUUUUACGGGAGCUUUUCUUUAUAUUUUUAAUUUUAAAUUUAACGUUAAUUAAGUUUUAGCUCGAUUGACAGGAAUAUUGUUAUCAAUGUAGGAGGACGUAGGGGUUAUGAAUAGUUCUAAACAUUAUUCUAAAAAGAGCAUACAUAAUCAGAGCAGUUUUUUCUUUCAAAAAGUGGAUGUAAGAUAGGGCGAGAUGAAGCGAGAUGAAUUUUUUCUUUUGGAUGGUGACUAUAGAGCGGUUAUGGUAAUUACCUACCCCUAUCCGACCCGCUCCAUUAUAUGAAUUUAUCAUUUUAUUGUUGUAUAUGUAAACUAUUAAAAGAGUAAAAAUGUGAUAAAGAUAUAUAGAAAAAAUACAUACAAUUUGUGUUUAAUUUUUUUAAAAUUAUGUUUAAAUAUUUACUUGACUAGAUUGAAAAUAUAAAUUUCUUCAGCACUCCAACGUUUACUUGAGAAUUUAGGGGCCUUACAUAUCAUCUUUCUUCUUCAAUAAAAAAGGAAUCUUCUUCAAAUAAAAAAGGAAGACUUAAUAAUUUUUCCUCCAAAUUUGAAGUAUAAGAUAUAACUUAAUUUCCAUAAAUUUUGAAUAUUUGAAAUUUCUAAUUUUAAUUUGGCUCCCAAGAAUAAUAUCCAAGCUCCGCCACUAAUCAUCCCCAUUUCUCCGUUCACCAGCGCCGUCACAUCACUGCACCACCUUCACCAUUGCACAACCUGCUUUAACCACCAUAUAGCCUGAAACCCACAUCACCCAAAGCCCUCGUACCCACGUCAACAGUUUCCAGUGCUAUAAUAUAUGUCUCGUGGAAGAGAACCUUUUAGCCUUGUGGGACCCAAACACCUUACCACCAUUGAUUGGAACGACGACAGCCAUCGAAGGUCCGUAUCAGCCAGCUUGGUCAAGGGUGUUUCCGAGCGGGAACGUGACCGACAAGUGGAAUUACGUGGAGGCUCUGAGACACUUGCGCCACAAUGGUGGGAGUUUUUCAACUUCAAGUUAGUGAAUGUGCUCGUCGAUGAGGAUGAUGAAAGCAUCUUCGGUGCCAUUUUUGAAUAUGUAUUUCCUUCGGCAACUAAUCCAGGCCCUGGAUACGUAAUCGCCUUUCGAGGUACCCUAUUGAAACGAGAAACUUGGAAAAGGGAUAUUGAGUCGGAUUUCGCAAUAAUCCUAAAUACACUUCAUCAAACUAGUCGUGUUCGGACCGCCAUGAAAUAUGUUGAAGAUAGGGUGUCAAAGGCUGGUUCUUCAAAGGUGUGGUUAACUGGUCAUUCCCUAGGGGCAGCCAUCGCAAUGCUUGCUGGAAAGAAUAUGGCGAAAAGAGGCAAAUUCUUGGAAAGUUUUUUGUUUAAUCCGCCAUAUGCAUCUUUCCCAAUUGAGACAAUCUUCAAAGACAAUAAGAAUGUGAUACGUGGAUCACUGUUAUCAAAGGCGGCGUUGCCCUUGCUUUGGGAUAUAGUGGUGAUGAAGAUUCAUUUGCUGCAAUAUCAGGGUGGAAGCCAUGUUUGUUUGUGAAUGGUAGAGACUUCAUAUGUCAUGGAUAUAUUGAACAUUUCAAGAAGAGAAGAAAGAGCCACGACUUUGGAGUUUGGGGACUAGUAAGCCAUCAUUCACUAAGAAAUAUAGUGACGAAAGAACUGAAAAUAAUGGAUGUUGAAAUUUCGGAGCCGCUUCAUUUGCUUCCUUCGGCAAAUCUUAUAGAGAAUCUCAGCCCUCCCGAAGAAAGCAUUUCACCUCAUAAACUUCGUCAUUGGUGGAAGCCUGACCUGAACUUGCGUUGUACUGUUUAUAACUACGAAUAGUUUGUCGCUUUCAUGGCUGCUGCUUCACUGCCUUCUUGGUAAUAUAUUGAUAUUACCACGGGGUAUAUAUCAUUACCAGCUCUGCAAAAAAGUUAACAAUAAAUUGAGGCUUUGUUUGAGCCUUAGUGUGUGCUUACAUUUGCUUGGUUUGUAAUAAAUCCCAAAUAAUUUCAUAGAAUUUGAGGCUUUGUUCGAGCCUUAGGGUGCCUUGCACUUGCUUGGUUUGUAAUAUGAUUGUACAAUAUUAAUGGAAAUAGUGAUGAAAAUCCUUUUCAAUAUAUACUAUUUGAUUCAAAAUUCCGUUUAAAUUCACAUUGUCCUGAUUCUUAUAAUAGAAACAAUCAUACCUCAGUCAACAUCUGCUUAAUUAUUUAUAUAUUAAAAUUUAAAAUAAAAUAAGAAAAAUUAUGUUUAUAUUUUAUAUUUUUUACAAUUAAUUUUAAAUAAUUUAUAAAAAUUAUUGCUUUAGCUUAAAUCAAUUGCUACCACUGCUCUUGCAACAAUUAGGAAUGUAUGAAUUCGAGUGUACUUAAGUGCUUAUUAUCCUCUCAUUUAUGAGUGCUCGGAGUUCUUGAUUUAAGUGUUGUAAAAUUUCUUGAAAAUUUAAAGUGUUUAACCCUGUGAUUUACUCAUUACAAUAUGGUUCCUAUCACGCUUCACGUUGGGAUAAAUUAAUUUUUGGAGCAAAUUAUGGAGUAAAAAUUUAAAAGUCAAAAUAUGCUCUAAGUGCUUAUACUCUUCAUACAUUUUCAAUUUAAUCUCAAUACUUUUAUUUUUUGGAAUUUAGUGCCUUUUCAACCUGUGAAGCAAAAUAUAUAGUCGCUACAGUGUGCACUUCUCAAGCAAUUUGGUUGAAGAAUAUUUUGAGCGAACUAAAUCUGAUUGCAAUUUAUGUUGAUAACAAGUCCACAAUAUCUCUAGCAAAGAAUUCUGUGUCUCAUAGUCGAAGUAAGCAUAUUGAUACAAAGUAUCAUGUUAUUCAAGAGUAAGUGAAGAAUAAAAAAAAUAGAAUUAGUCUACUGCAAGACGGAAGAUCAAUUGGCAGAUUUUUUUUAUGAAGCCAUUGAAAGUAAAUGUAAUCCACAAACUUAAAGAAAACUUAGAAUGAAUAGUUCAAUUUGAAUAAAAUAAGAAAGCUAUUUGGUGGAAAUGAAAUAAGUACGUAAUAACUAACAUAUGUAGUUUGGUUGAUUGAAUAGAAUAAAUCAAUAUUAGUAUUACAUUGUUGGGUUAGAAAAAAAAAAUUAUGCAAAGAAAAGCUUAAAAUGAAAAUUUUAUCCUUAGAUAUAAUUUUUAUUUAUUUAUAUUAUUGAUAUCUUAUAAAAAUUAAAUAUUAAUCAUAAUAAGAUAGAAAAUAUUUAAUAAUAUAUAUUAAAAUAAUAUUUUAUUUUUAAUUAAAAGAAAAAUAUUAAAUGCAAAUAAUAUUUUUUGGUAUCAUAGUUAGUAGUUAGUAUUAUGUCAAAAUAUGAUAUAAUACUCCAUAUUGUUAAUUGGAAAUAAUAUUAGAAAUGUUUUCAUUUUUUCCAUGUUAGUUUUUAAAAUUAUAUGAGGCAUUUUUUUAAAUUUCAAUCUUGUUUUUUUCUCUUCAACCCAUUUUAUCUGUAAGAUGUCUUUACUCCCUCUACAAAAUUCAUCUUCUCUAUCUAAAUUUACAACUUUCUGCCAUAUUUGCUUCCAUCAACCGAGUGAUUUCCGUCGUCCAUUACCGUGUCCUUAUUAAGUAAAUACUUUGAUUUCUUUAUUUUUUUUUCACGUUUUUAUCCUUUCCAGAUUUCUUCACCAAACUUUCUUCGACUUUUCUUGGUUCAAGUGUAUUAUUUUUCUAUUUAAAGGUUAAGGAAAUGUUAUAAAUAAUUUUAGGCAUUAUAUAAAAAAGAGUAAAUACAAUAAGAACUUUUUAUGAGAUUAAUAUUAAAAAAGAAUUAUAAUAUUUUAAUAGCUCUUAAUAAAAUUUCAUUAAAACUCUAAAAUAAUGAUAAAAUUAUACUUUAACCCUUUUAAAAAGUUUAUAAUUUAACUUUUAUCUUAAAAUAAAUUUUUUAUUUCAUCCUUGCUUACAUUCAUGUCGAGUAACAUAGGGAUGAUCAUAAAAAAUGUCUCCAUAUUUAAAUAAUUCGGAGCAUAAGGGGUUUUUGUCGUUUGAGGAUAGAAUAAAGCAUACCCUUUGAAAUAAUAGAUAACCUUUAUCAAAAUAUUAUUUAUAUUUUCUCUUUUCAACGUUUUAUAUUUUUACUUUUAAACCUAAAUAAUUACCAUUUUAAGUCAUUAUUUACUUCAUCUUUAAGUGUUGAUAAUAUUAUCAAAAUUAAUUUUACAAGUAUAUGAUAUCGCAAAUUCAACAUAAUCAAUUAUUUAAAGUAAUAACGUAAAUAACUCUACAUAAACCUACAAAUAAAUCAUUUUUUAAAAAAAAAUGCAAAUAAUUUAGGUUUUAAUUUCAAAAAAUGACUAUUAAUAAUGUUUUGUUUAAAUUAAGUUUAUGUUAUUUUAUAAAAAAUUAAUUAUUUUAAAUUAAAUAAAACUUAUUUUCUUUCUAGUGAACAAUGGAUAAAUACUGAAUCGACCUGCAUAAGUUAACUCCAUUAAAUACAUUAUUUAAAUUUUUUUAUAAGAAUUUAUAUUAGAUUUGUAAUUUUGUUUGUAAAGUUAAAAAGCUUAAGUGACAAUGGAUAGGAGCAAACAAAUAAAAUAGUUUGUAAGAAAAUCAAUGAUGGAUUUCAAUCGGCUUGAAAAUAGUUUAAUUUUGUUCUCAGUACACGUACUCUUCAAACUUUUAUAAUUUAAUUUUCUGCUUUUAAUUUUAGGAAUUUAACUCCAAUUUAAAAAUUAAAAUUUAAUUCGUAACACUUUUAUUUGAUUUAUAUCAAUUUUGAAUAGGUGGCAUUUUAAUAUCCAAAGGUUUGGUUUAAAAAUUAAAGUUCAAUAAUAACAAUUUAUAAUGUUACCGGUUGAACUUUAAUUUUUAAAUCAAACAAGUAGAGAGGCAAAAUUCUUAAGAUUAAAAGCAAGAGAUUAAAUUCUAUAAAUUAAAAGUACUGGGACUAAUGAUUAAUUGUACCUUUUUCGUAGCCAGAAUGUCCCUUAAUCGUAAUUUAAUAGCACAAUAAAUCACUACAAUCACACUCACAAAAUAUGCAUAAUAAUACCAUAAAGAACACAAGAAUUUUAACGAGGUUCAGCAAAUUUUGCCUACGUCCUCGAGCACUACCAAAUAUAUUUCACUCCAAAAUACAAGUGAAAAUUUACAAAGAGAGAGAGAGAGAACAAUGCCUUAAGUAGAGAAUGGCAAAUAUAGGAUACUAUGAAUGAGAGAUGGUUAGGUCUAUUUAAAGUUGAGGUUCAGGGAUCAACUUGCAAAGUCACUAUACAAUUAGAGACCAAAUAUUGCAAAUAUCUCAGAUUUCUUAUGCCAAUAUUUCGAUACCCAUAUCUUUGACUUUCUAAUAGUUGAUACCCAUAUCUUUGACUUUCCAUAAUAUGGAUGAUUGCCAAUAGUUUGAAAGGACUAUUUCAAAAUUCCGUAGAAUAAUUUUAUUAUAGAUUUUGAUCAUAUCUACAUCUUUUGACAAAAUGUUUAGAAUUACUCAUAGCCCUUACUCAACCCAUAAAUAAGAGGAUAAUGCGAUUGAAUUACACUCCAACCUACGUCCUCCUGCAUUGACAACAAUACUUAUACCAAUUGAAUUAAUACUCAAUUGACCUUUAUUCAUAAAAUUAAAAUAACAAAAAAAUGCAAAUAAAUCAAAGGAAAAGUAUAUAUGCCAAAGAUAACAUAGCGCAAGCCUUCCACACGACAUUUCUACAUCGUCAUAUGCCCCAUGUCAUAUUAUAUUCUUUAAAUUUCCGCUCUUCAUAAAAAGUAAUUUUCUUCUCACUCAUCCAAUAUUAUCGAAGAUUAGUAAAUGUAAAAUUUCCAAGUUAAAUUCAAUUUCUUCAUGUAAUAUAUGAAAUUAAUUUACAAAUUUAGAUUUAAUUUUCAGCAUUUAUAAUAUAUAUUUUAAAUUUUCAACACAGACUUGCAUAUAGAAAAUAAAUAAAUGUAUCGAUGAUUUAUAAUUAAUUAUUCUCUCAUUUAUUUUCUAAUAUUCUUCGAGGUUGAUAUCAUGCGCAUAAAUUUUGGUCCUAUGGUUUCAAAAAGGAAAAAAAGUUUUAGAUAAACAAUAGAUAACUCAUCUAUUCUUUAUGUAUGCUUUAAAAAAAAGUUGUAUAUAUACAUGAUAAUAAUUGAUACAUUAAUUGAUGUUAUGAGUUAACUGGACAUCAAUUCAGUUACAAAAAAAAUAAAAAAUAAUUUUUUUUGAAAAACAAUAAAUUUUAUUAUAAGAAUAUUUAUGUUUUCCAUAUUUUAUAAAGAAAAUUUAAAAUUAAAUAAUUUAAAUCACGAGGAAGGAUUGUAUAAAACUGUAGAUUUUUAGCUCUUUCUUCCUGAAAAAAAUCAAAUACAACUAAAAAUGCAAAUAUUACUAAAAAAAGGAAAAAAACAAAACAACAUAGCAAAUAUUACUAAGCAGACAAAAACAACUUCAACAAUAGAUUUCCCCGUUGUACUCUGCUGCAGAAAACAACAGACCAGCCCAGCAUCAUUCACUCUGCUUCAACAGCAACUCACCAUGCAGCUUUAAAGAAGUUUUUCCUUGACAUGCUUACCUUUGCUAAAGUUUCCACCAUUCUAUUCUUUUUAUGAUUAGCGACUGCAAACUGGAUUUCAGCAAUAUGUCUACAUCCAUCUUCAAUUUCCGCAAACAACUUCCUUAGCGAUCAUGGACGAAGAUUUCUAUAUUUCAACCAAUUCAAUUAGCUUAUUUGACUUGUAUUUAAGAUAUAAUGAAACUACUUGAUUUCAAGUUAAAUUAAUUACAUAUGAAAUAUUAUUAAUUACAUAAAAUUAUAACAUCUUAACUUGUUUGCAUAAAACAACCAUGUCAAUAAAGUUUCAUCUACAUCUAUAGGAUAAAUUUUGAUCAUAAAUCAACUAUAACUUUACAAUAUCUUAAAUUUGAUUCCUUUGAACAAUGUUGUCCAGAAAGCAUAAGAACCUCCUUUUCCAAAGUAUCUUACAAAAUAGGACUACUUUAUUAGGAUAAAUAAUGAAAUUUUCAAGAUAUUCUUUAAAUCACUCAAUCCAAUUUCCAUAAAAUAGGAAAUUCGAUUUGCAUGAUGAAUUGAAAUUCGAUCAUUUAUGAUUUGUUCCUCCGUUAGAUUAAUCUUCUAAGAUGUGCCAUGAAAGCUUCCAAUAGAUUUAGCUAAAAUGAUUAUCAGUUCUAAACAUGAUAAAUAAUUGUUUCAGCCUAGCUACAACAUAAAUUGAAACUGCUCUUGUAGCUGAAACCAUAAUUUCUCCAACAGAGGUUUCAUCUGCACCACAUUUAUAGAGCAAAAUUUAUGAUUAAACAACUAUAUUUUCCAAAUAAUUUAAAUUUAUUUCAAAUCUAUCCGUAAAAGAGCUAAAGGGUAUAGGCAGUAUGGGGUUUAAUGCAACUAAAAUCAUGUCAAGCAUUUACAUUGGUAUGUAAACUGGCACCAUUGAAGGAACGUUUGAUUCCUUUGAACAAUAUUGUCUAGCAAGCAUCAGAACCUCCUUUCCAAAAGAAUUAUAUGUUUUCUCUUUAUUAAAUUUGAUUCUCGAUUUUUUGUUGCUUCUUCUAAUCACAUCUACUAUAAAUUUGCCUUAGUUUAUUGCUAAAAACACAACUUAAAACAAAAGAUUUUAACUAGAAAUCAUAAAUGGGACAGCCACAAAGCAAACCAAGGUUUCCUCAACCAGGGGAUCACAUCUACUGUCAAAGAAAGGGAGGUCUCUAUGAUCACCAUGGUUUGCUUCUAUUUCUUUUCAAUUUUUUAUCCAUAUACCCAGAAGAUCAUAACAUGUAUACACACACAUAAACAUUGGGUGUUUCUGAUUGAGCACUGCAGGAAUAUAUGUGGGGGACGGCAUGGUGAUUCAUCUCCGGGGAGCAGCCAAGAAACUUGGGGAGCUACCUGGAUGCCAUAAAUGUGGAGACAAGCGAGUCGAAAAUGGUGAAAUAGCAAAAGUAUGCAUAGAUUGUUUCCUUGAUGGUGGAACGCUCCAGAUUUUUGACUAUGGAGUUCCCCUUUUAGAAUUCAUUGCAAGAAAACGUGGU